AGCUUUGCGCAGUGGCAGUAUCGUAGCCAAUGAGGUUUAUCCGAGGCACGAUUAUUGCUAAUAGAAAAUUUGGAGGGAAACGAUUAUGACCUAAGAAUCCUAGAGUUAGUCAAGUUAUGGUUGAAAUAUAAAAUC
Molecule: small nuclear RNA, 135 nt
Organism: Lynx canadensis (Canada lynx)
Lineage: Eukaryota; Metazoa; Chordata; Mammalia; Carnivora; Felidae
Gene: U4
Rfam family: U4 spliceosomal RNA
About the family: U4 small nuclear RNA (U4 snRNA) is a component of the major U2-dependent spliceosome. The structure of U4 snRNA from yeast and human has been reported. U4 snRNA presents a k-turn RNA motif in the 5p-SL related to recognition of Snu13 protein.
Source: Ensembl